RNAcentral lists this non-coding RNA (21 nucleotides) under Arabidopsis thaliana (thale cress). The record is from RNAcentral. Lineage: Eukaryota; Viridiplantae; Streptophyta; Magnoliopsida; Brassicales; Brassicaceae.
UAUAACACGAAUGGUCCCGCA